Molecule: ribosomal RNA, 510 nt
Filed under: uncultured bacterium
Lineage: Bacteria
Description: partial 16S ribosomal RNA
Rfam family: Bacterial small subunit ribosomal RNA
Source: RNAcentral
GACGAACGCUGGCGGCGUGCUUAACACAUGCAAGUCGAACGAAGAGCGAUGGAAGCUUGCUUCUAUCAAUCUUAGUGGCGAACGGGUGAGUAACGCGUAAUCAACCUGCCCUUCAGAGGGGGACAACAGUUGGAAACGACUGCUAAUACCGCAUACGAUCUAAUCUCGGCAUCGAGGAUAGAUGAAAGGUGGCCUCUACAUGUAAGCUAUCACGGAAGGAGGGGAUUGCGUCGGAUUAGCUAGUUGGAGGGGUAAGGGGCCACCAAGGCGAUGAUCAGUAGCCGGUCUGAGAGGAUGAACGGCCACAUUGGGACUGAGACACGGCCCAGACUCCUACGGGAGGCAGCAGUGGGGAAUCUUCCGCAAUGGACGAAAGUCUGACGGAGCAACGCCGCGUGAGUGAUGACGGCCUUCGGGUUGUAAAGCUCUGUUAAUCGGGACGAAAGGCCUUCUUGCGAAUAGUGAGAAGGAUUGACGGUACCGGAAUAGAAAGCCACGGCUAACUACGUG